AUGUUUCACACAGUGUAGAAGACAAGAGUUCUAGAAGUUGUUUCUAUGUUCAUCCAGGAUAUAGUUUCACUGUUCUUGAGGUAAGUACUCAAGGUCUGAUAAGAAAGAGGGUUGAGGGCUAUUUAUUUAGAGACUCUUGUUAAUAGCAGGCUCAAACUGUAUUCUCCUUGGUGUUGCAAAUAAUUCUUUUUCCUGUGUCAGGCUGAGUGUUAUGAGUCCAACGAAGGUUGGACAAGAAUUCACAAGUUGGUUUGAUAUAGUCCCACUUGUUUAUUUUAGCUUUUGGUGUUGGAUGCAAAAAUAUUAUUGCCAAGACCAGUGUCAAGGAGCUUACGCUUAUGUAUUCUUCUAAGAUUUUUUUUAGUUUUAGGUCUUAACUUUAAAUCUUUAAUUCAUUUUCAGUUGAUUUUUUUUUUUUUGUAUGCUGUAGGGCAGGGGUUCAGUUUUAUCCUUUUGCAUGUGCUGCCUAGUUUUCCCAAUACCAUUGAUUGAAGAAACUAUCCUUUCCCCAUUGUAUACUCUUGGCUCUUUUUCAUAAAUUAAUUGACAAUACAUGCAUGGGGUUUAUUUCUGGUCUAUUUGUUCCUUUAAUCUAUGUGUCUGUUUUUCAUGAAUAUCAUAGUGUUUUGAUUUCUUUAGUUUUGUAAUGUAGUUUGAAUAAAGUGCAAUAUCUCUAACUUUGUUUUUCCUUUUCAAGAUUGCUUUGAUUGUUUAGGGUCACUUGUGGUUUAAUACAGAUUUUUCAGAUUGUUUUUCCUAUUUCUGUUAAAAAACCAGUGAAACUUUGAUAGCUGAUAACACCAUAUUAUAUAAUUGAAAUUUUCUAAGUGAGUAGAACUUAAAUGUUCUCAUCAUAUAGAUAGAUAGAUGGAUAGAUAGAUAGAUAGGUAGAUAGAUAGAUAGAUAGAUAGAUAGAUAGAUAGAAUGAUGGAUACAUUAAUUAGAUAGAUGGGAGGAAUCUUUUCAUCAUGUACACAUAUAUCAAAUCAUCAUGACAUACACUUAAAUGUCUUACAAUUUUAUUUUUCAAUUGUACUUCAGUAAAGUCCAAAAAAACAAUUGACAUGUUGGAAAUUUCUAUUAUAACUUGGCUUUUUACUGUCAUUGUAAACUUGGGACAACUGAGUUACCUCCUCUAUUUCUUCGUAUAUGUUACUUUUACUUUGUUAUGCAUAAAAAACCUUUACUUUGUUACAAUGAUUAAAUAAUAGCUUUUUUACACAGAGCAAAGCCCUCUCUGUAUAAAAAUGGUGCCAUUUAUUGAACAACUGCCCUGUGCCAGCCAUUUUUAUGACAAUCCUAUGUCCUGUAAAAAAACCUGCAUUACUCACUUCUCAUUUCCUUAAGAGUUGAAUGGAGACAAAAACACAUCUGCUAGUUAAUUGUACAGAAUGUAUAUGCAUUCCAUAGUAUUUAAUAAAUUAUCUCUCUCAAAUUGCAUAUAUAUAUUGAAAGGGGACGUAGAAGUCUUUUAAAAUGAACAUCUAUUGAGCAGAAUUGAGUUGACCAUACUCAGUACAUGGCACACCUGCACAAAUCACUGUAAGGCAUUAUUUUUUAUUUUGUCAUUUUUUUAGAUGAAUCACAAUAUCCACUUGAUUCCCCUACCCCUUAUAUAUGCACACCCCAAUCUAACAUAUGUAUUGUAUUUUCUUCUCAUUGAUCUUCCACAUGUUUAUGUGGAUGUAUGCUUUUCCUUGAAAAAUAUGUUACAUAAUGUGCUUUUAAAAAGCACAUUGUAUUGUAUCAUAAAUUUAACUUCUGAAUACUUUUUUAAAAUUUGAGCUUAGAUAAAUCUAUCUUUACUGAUAUAUUGAAAUGUAUUAUCAGUUCUGAGGUUGCAUGAAACAGCAGAUUGUAUGCCACAUACUAUUCAUUCAUUCUCUUUCUUGAUGCAUACACUAACUCUAAUUCCUGACUGCUGUGGAAGAUGCUACCAUGAACAUCCACUGUGAUAGACUAUGGCUGCUCAUCACUAUUAACUGACCUCGUGGAGGACUCUUCUCUGCUUUGCUGAGCUUAGACUUACUCAUAUGAAUUACUUUCAUUGAUAAAACAUGAGCAGAAGUGAUGUAUAUCACUUCCAGAGAUGUGUGUGGUAUGUGCUUUGCCUCUGCCUCUUUGAGCAACAGUGUUCCAGAUAAUCCCUGCUCUGUCAGCCUGGGUCCUAGAGUCAGAGUGAUUAUUAUCAGAGCCAUCCUGCCUCAGAGUGUAUAAACAGCACAAAUGAAAAAUAAACUCUACUAUUAUAAGCCAAUAAGAUUUGGGAAAUAUUUAUUACUAUGAUGAAAUAUAUUCAAUUCUGACAUAUAAAAACUGAUGUCAUGAUUAGAUGAUACUAUAAAAUUGUUUCCCUUGAGAAGGGUUGAGGGCAUUUUGUUUGUAGAAAGGAGAAUGAACCCGGUAUGUGUGACGAAGGGGAGAACUGUGAUGGUGGUUAGCACUGUUCAAAAAUGUCAGUUUUCCAGCUAGAUGGUAGGAUUAUAUUUGUUAACCUCUAUUGGUUAUGUGUUCUUGUGCACUUGGUGUGAAAAUUUCUUUGGCCUAUUUACUCAGGAGCUGGACUAUGACAUUAUAAUCUACAUAGCUUUUCAUAGUGGAUACACCGAGUUAUGUACCUUUAACAAAGUGAGAAUCCUUCCCAUUUGCGAUAUUCUAAGAAACACUUUAUAUAUACGUCUUUUUAAUUUUGUACAUCUUUUGGGGAAAUUUGCUUUUAUUGCUUUGAGGAUUCCUCAGAAUGUCAGUGAAAUUAAAGCUCUGGCGUUCCCAUCCUGGUUCAGUGGUUGGUGAAUCCGACUAGGAACCAUGAGGUUGUGGGUUCCAUCCCUGGCCUUGAUCAGUGGGUUGGGGAUCAGGCAUUGCCGUGAGCUGUGGUGUAGGUCGCAGACGUGGCUCGGAUCCCGCGUUGCUGUGGCUCUGGCGUAGGCUGGCGGCUACAGCUCUGAUUGGACUCCUAGCCUGGGAACCUCCACAUGCCGUGGGCGCGGCCCUAGAAAAG
RNAcentral lists this long non-coding RNA (3001 nucleotides) under Sus scrofa (pig). RNAcentral's name for it is "lncRNA (ENSSSCG00000058319.1)". Lineage: Eukaryota; Metazoa; Chordata; Mammalia; Artiodactyla; Suidae. The record is from RNAcentral.